This 446-nucleotide ribosomal RNA is filed under the name uncultured bacterium. RNAcentral's name for it is "bacterial SSU rRNA". It matches the Rfam family "Bacterial small subunit ribosomal RNA", at positions 354 to 796 of the family's 1533-position model. The record is from RNAcentral.
GUAAGGAAUAUUGGGCAAUGGACGCAAGUCUGACCCAGCCAUGCCGCGUGAAGGAUGAAUGUCCUAUGGAUUGUAAACUUCUUUUAUGCAGGAAAAAUAUCCCGGUCGUGAACCGGGACUGAUGGUACUGUAUGAAUAAGCAUCGGCUAACUCCGUGCCAGCAGCCGCGGUAAUACGGAGGAUGCAAGCGUUAUCCGGAUUCAUUGGGUUUAAAGGGUGCGCAGGCGGAAUGAUAAGUCAGUGGUGAAAUCUCCCAGCUUAACUGGGAAACUGCCAUUGAUACUGUCGUUCUUGAGUACAGUUGAAGUGGGCGGAAUGUGUCAUGUAGCGGUGAAAUGCUUAGAUAUGACACAGAACACCGAUAGCGAAGGCAGCUCACUAAGCUGUAACUGACGCUCAUGCACGAAAGCGUGGGGAUCAAACAGGAUUAGAAACCCCUGUAGUCC